RNAcentral lists this transfer RNA (65 nucleotides) under Metopina sagittata. Its description in RNAcentral is "tRNA-Cys". Lineage: Eukaryota; Metazoa; Arthropoda; Insecta; Diptera; Phoridae. The record is from RNAcentral.
AGCUUUAUAGUCAAUAAUGAUAUUAGACUGCAAUUCUAAAGGAAUAAAUAAAUUUAUUAAGGCUU